This 497-nucleotide ribosomal RNA is filed under the name uncultured bacterium. RNAcentral describes it as "partial 16S ribosomal RNA". It matches the Rfam family "Bacterial small subunit ribosomal RNA", at positions 28 to 507 of the family's 1533-position model. The record is from RNAcentral.
GAUGAACGCUGGCGGCGUGCCUAAUACAUGCGAGUCGAGCGAACAGACGAGGAGCUUGCUCCUCUGACGUUAGCGGCGGACGGGUGAGUAACACGUGGAUAACCUACCUAUAAGACUGGGAUAACUUCGGGAAACCGGAGCUAAUACCGGAUAAUAUAUUGAACCGCAUGGUUCAAUAGUGAAAGACGGUUUUGCUGUCACUUAUAGAUGGAUCCGCGCCGCAUUAGCUAGUUGGUAAGGUAACGGCUUACCAAGGCGACGAUGCGUAGCCGACCUGAGAGGGUGAUCGGCCACACUGGAACUGAGACACGGUCCAGACUCCUACGGGAGGCAGCAGUAGGGAAUCUUCCGCAAUGGGCGAAGGCCUGACGGAGCAACGCCGCGUGAGUGAUGAAGGUCUUCGGAUCGUAAAACUCUGUUAUUAGGGAAGAACAAAUGUGUAAGUAACUAUGCACGUCUUGACGGUACCUAAUCAGAAAGCCACGGCUAACUACGUG